This 495-nucleotide ribosomal RNA is filed under the name uncultured bacterium. RNAcentral describes it as "partial 16S ribosomal RNA". It matches the Rfam family "Bacterial small subunit ribosomal RNA", at positions 28 to 507 of the family's 1533-position model. The record is from RNAcentral.
GACGAACGCUGGCGGCGUGCCUAAUACAUGCAAGUCGAACGCUGAAGGAGGAGCUUGCUCUUCUGGAUGAGUUGCGAACGGGUGAGUAACGCGUAGGUAACCUGCCUGGUAGCGGGGGAUAACUAUUGGAAACGAUAGCUAAUACCGCAUGACAACAGCUAUUGCAUGAUAACUGUUUAAAAGGGGCAACUGCUCCACUACCAGAUGGAGCUGCGGUGUAUUAGCUAGUUGGUGUGGUAACGGCGCACUUAGGCGAGGAUACAGAGUCGACGGGAGAGGGGGGGCGGCCAGACUGGGAAGGAGACACGGCCCAGUGGCGUCCGGGAGACAGCCGUAGGGAAUCUGCGGGAAUGGACGGAAGACUGACCGAGCAAGGCCGCAUGAGUGAAGAAGGAUCGCGGAUCGUGAAGGUCUGUUGUAAGGGUAGAAAGAGUGUGAGAGUGGAAAGUACGCACUGUGACGGUAACUGACCAGAAAGGGACGGCUAACUACGUU